UAUUAUUUUUAUUCUCACUGCAAUGACUUGUUAAAAUGUUAUUUUGAAUACGAAUAUUCAAAACAUAAUCGCUCAUUUACCCAGCUUGUACAGUAUUUACAUUUCAGUUUGUAAAUACAGAUGGCACCACAUCUCCUACUAUCAUUGCGGCUACAAACAAUUUCAGAAUUGCAUUUGUCACCGUUUUACGCCAGGGUCUGUUCUACCCGCCUUGUGUGACAGAGCUGCUCAUGGGUGGGUACAGGCUGCCGCGCUAAUCCGUUUAGCUGUGAUGAAGCGCAAGGCAUCCGAGAGACUCCGCGUCGUGGUCACGCCAGCGCGCCUGGUAGCAAAUCGGCAGUCCGGUGAUGGAUUACUGCAGCUGAAAUGAAGAAUAAAGAAGGAUGAAACCGCUAGGUGGCAGGAGAAAUCUCCAUCUGGUAGGUAGGAGAUUUCAAGCUGUCGUUCGAGGUUCAUGGGACACAAACUACUGAUUCAUAUGGAACAAAUGUUGCGAUUCCCAAGAGCUGUUUGAGUAAACUUUCAUUUCAUCAGAGGAACAUCCUCCUUGUUUGCCAUUGCUUUUGGGGGAACCAGCAUACAUACCGGAGAAUCAGAAAGACCGAGAGAAAGAUCCAUUUUCUAUCCACUUUAUCCAGUUCAAGGUUGCAGGGGAGUCCGAGCCUGUCCCAGCACACAGCGUCCCACUGUCAGCACUGGCUGUACUGGAAGCUAAGCAAACACCCCAAGACAAGAGCUGAAAGAGCUGCUUUGAUUAUACAGACCGGGAGGCGUUUGACCAGACUGACAUCCUCACCUCCUGUUGGAGGUCUGUGGGGAGGAGGGGGCGCUGCUAUCAACACAUUCCAGGGGAGCCCCACCCAGGUCCAGCAGCUUUUCCAGAUCACUCCUAAAGGGGCAGUUUCUGAAUUGCUCAGUACUGUUCAAUGAAGCAGGUGAUUCGGGCAAUCAGGUAGUUUGAAGAUCAUCCAUCCAUCCAUUUUCCAACUGCUUUAUCCGAUACAGGGUUUCAGGGGAGCCGCAACUUAUCUCGGCAAGCAACAGGAGCAGGGCA
Long non-coding RNA from Lepisosteus oculatus (spotted gar), 1054 nucleotides. RefSeq lists it as uncharacterized. NCBI's taxonomy places the organism in Eukaryota, Metazoa, Chordata, Actinopteri, Semionotiformes, Lepisosteidae. The record is from RefSeq and is a predicted model, not a curated record.